This 483-nucleotide ribosomal RNA is filed under the name uncultured bacterium. Its description in RNAcentral is "partial 16S ribosomal RNA". It matches the Rfam family "Bacterial small subunit ribosomal RNA", at positions 30 to 506 of the family's 1533-position model. The record is from RNAcentral.
AUUGAACGCUGGCGGCAGGCCUAACACAUGCAAGUCGAGCGGAUGAAGGGAGCUUGCUCCUGGAUUCAGCGGCGGACGGGUGAGUAAUGCCUAGGAACCUGCCUGGUAGUGGGGGAUAACGUCCGGAAACGGGCGCUAAUACCGCAUACGUCCUGAGGGAGAAAGUGGGGGAUCUUCGGACCUCACGCUAUCAGAUGAGCCUAGGUCGGAUUAGCUAGUUGGUGGGGUAAAGGCCUACCAAGGCGACGAUCCGUAACUGGUCUGAGAGGAUGAUCAGUCACACUGGAACUGAGACACGGUCCAGACUCCUACGGGAGGCAGCAGUGGGGAAUAUUGGACAAUGGGCGAAAGCCUGAUCCAGCCAUGCCGCGUGUGUGAAGAAGGUCUUCGGAUUGUAAAGCACUUUAAGUUGGGAGGAAGGGCAGUAAGUUAAUACCUUGCUGUUUUGACGUUACCAACAGAAUAAGCACCGGCUAACUUCGU